This 1434-nucleotide long non-coding RNA is filed under the name Mus musculus (house mouse). RNAcentral's name for it is "long non-coding RNA chr15:78179313-78180747". The record is from RNAcentral. Lineage: Eukaryota; Metazoa; Chordata; Mammalia; Rodentia; Muridae.
GUGGGGGUGGGUUGGUAAAGGCUUGCUGCCAAGCCUGGUGAGGUUGAGUUUGAUCUCUGGGACCUGUACGCUGUCCUCUGACCUCUCUACACAAGCCUUGUGGCACAUGUCUCGGUGCUUUGUGCUCUGUCUGAGACGGUUAGCUUCCUGGGACCAGCAGACUGGAUCCUGCCUGUGCUGCCUCAGGGCUUUUGUGCAGUCUACCCCAAAGCUGGCACAGUCACUGAUGUUUCUCUAAUGUGUAACAGUCCUCUCGGCUCUGUCCCCAUCCUUCUUUCCCAAGUGUCCCCCUGUUGAACACAAUCUUUCUGUGAUCGUCACACAGGAGGAGCCACUUCUUGGCUGGGCAGGGGAACACACACACACAAGUCUCUUGCUCUCUCCAAUAGCUACUAUGAAGGUGCAGCCUGACAGCUCCUACCACCUACGAUAUGCAUUGCAAACUAUAAAGUUCUGGGCAAAAACCUGAGCUUUCCCUGCCACCAAGAUAGACUCCAUUCUGAGGCCAGUUCCCCAGCACCUCCUCCAGGUAACUUUGAGUGUUAUCACCAACACCACAAAGGAGCCUUUGUGGCCAGCACACAGCAGCUUGAAAAGACGCCUUCUGGUGGCCCACAGGACAGGGCUGAGGGCCCUUCAAGGAUGAAUGGGACUGGCCAAACAUAUUUACUGGGGUUGGGUGAGGUAGGGUGUGGCUGGAGCCUCCAGAACAUUCCAGAGCCCUUGCACCUCUGAGCUCUUCUGUGAGUUCCCACAACAGCAUCUGUCACGUUCUGUAAAGGGAGCUAGUGAAAGAGAACGUCCUUCAAACCUCCCAGUUUAUACCUUCUGAGGCCAAGUGUCCCAAAGGGACAUUCUUGGAUCUCUCAGGUGGCACAGUGACAGGUGGACCUUUAAAUCAGGAGAUUGCAUUUGGAGUUUGACUGUAAACAAUUACAUAUCAGGGAGCCAGAGCCAGAGCCUGCCUCAGAAACACGAGGGCUGGGGGGCGUAGCUCUGUUGGUAAACUACAGUUUGGAAACUCUGAGUUUCAUCUUCUGAGCCCAUAUAAAGAAUCUGGGUGUGAGGGCAAGGGUUUGUAAACCCAGUGCUGGGGACAGGGAGACAGGAGGCUUCUCAGCACUCAACGUUCAGCCAGCCUAGCUUAUCUGGCCAGCUCCAGGUCAGGAAGAAACCUCGUUUCAUAAAAUAAGGUGAAAGGGGCCCGAAGAAUGCCACCAGAGGUGAUCUCCAGACUCCACAUGCAGUUACACACAUGUGCAUGCUCCCAACACACAAACACAAAACACACACACACACAUACACACUCAUUAUGAAGUCAUGGGCAAUGGAGUGUACUGAGGUCACUGAGGUUUAGAGACCCAGUGCAAGGGGAUGUUUCAAGUCUAAGAGUUCAAGCCCACCCUGAGUACCAUAGAUGCUGUCUCAAAACAC